Molecule: unclassified non-coding RNA, 344 nt
Filed under: soil metagenome
Description: partial contains 5.8S ribosomal RNA, internal transcribed spacer 2, and large subunit ribosomal RNA
Rfam family: 5.8S ribosomal RNA (bases 1-120)
Source: RNAcentral
GAUGAAGAACGUAGCGAAAUGCGAUAAGUAAUGUGAAUUACAGAAUUCAGUGAAUCAUCGAAUCUUUGAACGCACAUUGCGCCCGCCAGUAUUCUGGCGGGCAUGCCUGUUCGAGCGUCAUUUCAACCCUCAAGCCCCCGGGCUUGGUGUUGGGGAUCGGCGUGCCCUCGCGGCGCGCCGUCCCCUAAAUCUAGUGGCGGUCUCGCUGUAGCUUCCUCUGCGUAGUAGCAACACUCGCACUGGAUCGCAGCGCGGCCACGCCGUUAAACCCCCCACUUCUGAAAGUUUGACCUCGGAUCAGGUAGGAAUACCCGCUGAACUUAAGCAUAUCAAUAAGCGGAGGA